GGGAAUAUAGCUUAGCAGCAUAGCACCUGCCUGGCAAGUACAAGGUCUUGAGUUCAAUUCCCAGUAUACAUA
Transfer RNA from Cavia porcellus (domestic guinea pig), 72 nucleotides. It matches the Rfam family "tRNA". From Rfam's summary of the family: Transfer RNA (tRNA) molecules are approximately 80 nucleotides in length. Their secondary structure includes four short double-helical elements and three loops (D, anti-codon, and T loops). NCBI's taxonomy places the organism in Eukaryota, Metazoa, Chordata, Mammalia, Rodentia, Caviidae. The record is from Rfam.